This 1752-nucleotide long non-coding RNA is filed under the name Bemisia tabaci. RNAcentral describes it as "lncRNA ENSSSA1NGG005277". The record is from RNAcentral. Lineage: Eukaryota; Metazoa; Arthropoda; Insecta; Hemiptera; Aleyrodidae.
UUAUCAAUAUUUACAGACCGCUCGGAGCGAGGGGAGGUCCCUAGCCUAGUGAGGGCCCGCUCCCUGCUGAAAGAUGCAGGUUUCCAGAGGCUGGAGACGAGGGUAAGAAUUGCCUAUUUUCUGUAUUAGUGAUUAAUUUUUAUCCAUAUGAAAUUAUAUUUCCAUUAAGUUAGCAAUCCAUUUUUUUAAAUUUUAUGCGGUGUGCUUUUCGGGAUUUAUUAAUAUAAAUCGAUAUUUAUUUUCGCAAAAUCAUUUGCAGCGCUUGGAGAAAAAGGUAAGAAUUGCAAUAUCAAUAUUUUACAGACUUCGCCGAGACCAAGGAAGUCCCGAGCCUGCUGCGGGCCCGCUCCCUUCUGAGAGAUAAAGGCCUGGAACGGCUCGAGACCAAAGUCGUUCAACGACUGAUGAGAGCCAUCUCCCUCGUGCCUCUCCUCUCCCUGGUGCACCACCAUAUGUCACCCUACACGCGCCGGUGACAGUGGUGGUGUAACAGCACCAAGCACAGCAACAACAGCAACAACGAGCAGUCUUUAGGCAGCCACACAGACUGAUGAGAGCCAUCUCCCUCGUGCCUCUCCUCUCCCUGGUGCACCACCAAGCACAGCAACAACAGCAACAACGAGCAGUCUUUAGGCAGCCACACAGACUGAUGAGAGCUAUCUCCCUCGUGCCUCUCCUCUCCCUGGUGCACCACCAUAUGUCACGCUACACGCGCCGGUGACAGUGGUGGUGUAACAGCACCAAGCACAGCAACAACGAGCAGUCUUUAGGCAGCCACACAGACUGAUGAGAGCCAUCUCCCUCGUGCCUCUCCUCUCCCUGGUGCACCACCAUAUGUCACGCUACACGCGCCGGUGCCAGUGGUGGUGUAACAGCACCAAGCACAGCAACAACAGCAACAACGAGCAGUCUUUAGGCAGCCACACAGACUGAUGAGAGCCAUCUCCCUCGUGCCUCUUCUCUCCCUGGUGCACCACCAUAUGUCACCCUACACGCGCCGGUGACAGUGGUGGUGUAACAGCACCGAGCACAGCAACAACAGCAACAACGAGCAGUCUUUAGGCAGCCACACAGACUGAUGAGAGCCAAUUUGUCUGCAAAACUCAGAGGAAGGGCCAUCGAAAUAAUUAGGUAUCUAAGAUUCAUACCUGACAAUAGCCUUCUCCAUCAUCAGUUUUUUAUUAAUUUGAUGAGAAAAUAAGGUAACUGCAAGGAGAGGAGUGCGAAGUAGCGAUAUGCCGUAUAUAUUUGUUUUUUAGUGAAAUUAAAGGGGGUGGAAUUUAUAGACGCGAGUUAUUUUCUGGGAAGAUAUAGUUUGCUCAUAGUUUUUCCAGUCAAUAUUUGUAUCUCUUGCUUAUUGUUUUCACUAUUUUAUAAGAUUUUUAACAUCAUGAAGAUUAAUUUUUAUUUUAUCAAUAUUUACAGACCGCUCGGAGCGAGGGGAGGUCCCUAGCCUAGAGAGGGCCCGCUCCCUGCUGAAAGAUGCCUGACAUUUUUGACCAUUUAUAGAGACCAAAAAAAAGAAAAAAGACACAGGUCCAUCGCAUAAAAGCGUGAAAUUCGCAGAGUGGCGUGCUUCUGAGUCGCACGAUUCAAAUGAGUCCUCAUCGCGUGUAAUUUUUAAUCUCCCUAAUGCGCACCAGACGCAGCGCAAGCCUAACGAGAUAAUGUGACCGAGAGGGGUUGACUUCAUAACAGGGUGGGGCCGCGUUAUUGUCGAGGGGUGAAAAAUUGGAAAGAUUGCUAAUGGAC